This 2434-nucleotide long non-coding RNA is filed under the name Anas platyrhynchos platyrhynchos (common mallard). Its description in RNAcentral is "lncRNA (ENSAPLG00000022956.1)". The record is from RNAcentral. Lineage: Eukaryota; Metazoa; Chordata; Aves; Anseriformes; Anatidae.
UAAGGAGCAAUUAACCUUAAAACAUUGAAGCCAGGUAGAUGAGCCUAUUCCACAAGGUCUCUUGGCUCCACCCUUGUUAAGUGAACUCUGCCAGCUGUGGACCUUUGCUAUAUAGGAAGAAUGAGGAGUUGUGGGGAAUUGCCUUUCUAGGGGAACUUGAGGAGACUAUAAGAGCUAGUUACGUUGGUGGUACCUUCUCAGUACAGUAAAACCCUGGUGGUACUACUUCACUGGGAAGUACUUUGGCAGUGACUUAAGUUCAGAAGCUGGCAGGUGAGUUAUGGUAGCCUUGCAAAGCUCUGACUAUGCUUGGGAUGUUCAGAUGAGCACGUUCUUCUCAGUGUGUCUCCAGAACACACUUGAGGUUUUGUCAAAGGUUAAAGAAAUCCUAAGGAGUGUCACGCACAGAUAUGUUGAGAGGAAAGUUAUGGUAGCCUUGCAAAGCUCUGACUAUGCUUGGGACGUUCAGACAAGCAUGUUCUUCUCAGUUUGUCUCCAGAAUGCACUUGAGGUUUUGUCAAAUCUUAAAGAAAUCCUAAGGAGUGUCAUGCACAGAUGUGUUGAGAGGUCUGCCAGUAGCUGACGAAGUAGAAAAGUGUGCUUUUCUCUUUCAUUCUUGUAUAGAGUUAGAGGCAAUGGCAAUUUAAUCCGUGACUGAGGGUCUGCAAUGGUGCAAGUCUAUCCUACUACUUCAAGUUCAGUGAUGCAACCUGAGUUUACACUAAUUACCUUUCAGGGAUUGAACCAAUUUAACACUUUUGGACUAUGACAAUUCUUGGAAAACAUUUCCACAGGUUUAUUUUCUUAUGCAUUUGUUUGCUAUCUCCAUCUCAUUCAAAGCAGUCAGGACUGCUUUGCUUCUCUCUUCUCUGGAAAAGUUCUCUGCACUAGGAACUAUGGUUAGAAUCAGAAUCCUAAGCUAAGAGUAUGAUGAAAAGUGUUGCACUCCAAGUUGGAAAGUGGAGAGGGAAAUGUUUAUGUAUACAUGAGAAUUGUACUCAAACAGCUGAUUACACCUCUUCUGACACCUCAACAGAUGCUUACACCUUUUAUGGGAAAACUUUAAACCUAAGAAGCAACAGGCAUUUUUCUACGUUUCCAUUGGGGAUAGUAUGUUCUUCUGUAUUUUUGCUUCUAUACAAGCAGUUCAAACUUUUAAAGUCCCAUUGUCAGUCAUACAACUAAACAACCUUGCAUGGCAUUACAUGUUCCCCUCCAGAUAGAUCAAGCCCUGAAUGCAAGAUUAGACAAGUAAAUGAUGCCAACAUGUAAAACUAAUUUGUAAGUACUUUUUGGCGCUUUUUUAGGGACACUUUGUGGGGCUUAACUGUCCUGCAGUGAGAAGAACGUCUUCUGGUGUAAGUCUUCCUUGUAAGUCUUCCAAAGGGAAAUGAAAUUAUCCUACCCAGAUGAAGCACCAUCCAGAAGACACUUGAGUUGUUAGGGCCUGAAUUCUCACUGAAACCAAAGGCAGGGAUCUUACUGACCUGAAGAAAGAGGCUUUAAUCUCUCCUGGCUUGUUUACUCCUGAAGGAGCAUGAAAGAGACGCGUGUCCUUGUAUCUGAAGAGGAGGUGAAGGAACAGCUAGUGCAAGGAACACAAAAAUCCAUUGUGCCAGACUAAUAGGUGGUUGGCUCUGAGCUUGGAGACUGCAACAGAAUCACCUAGAUUAGACUCUGUGAUCUUGGAGGUCUCUUCCAACCUCUGACCUAACACUAACAGGUCCUCCACUAAGCCAUAUCACUGAGCUCUGUGUCUAAAUGUCUUUUAAGGACAUCCAGGGAUGGUGACUCAACCGCUUCCCUGGGCAGCCCAUUCCCAUACCUAACAACCCUUUUGGUAAAGAAGUUUUUCCUAAUGUCCAACCUAAACCUCCCCUGUUGCAACUUUAGCCCGUUCCCCUUUGUCCUCUGGCCAGGCACAUGGAAGAAUAGACCAAUCCCCACCUUGCUACAGCCUCCUUUAAUGUACCUAUAGAGAUCAAAUAUAUAGAGAGUAUAUAUAUUCUUUUUCUAUAUAUGUAUAGAAAGAAAUAUUUUGAAAUUAGAAGUUGAAACUUGUAAUUUGAAGAUGACAAGAGAAAACAAAAAUUUCAAACUUUCAGCUACAUGUAUGAAGGAGCAUUAACCAAACUUUGUUUGAAAGCAAGCAGAGGCUGGACUAAUCAAAACUGAAUACACAAUAUUACUCCUAGUUCUCAGAGGGAACAUUACACCAUGACUUGGAAUGAUGACAAAAGACUAUGUUUUGUCACUAGGAUAGUUAAUCUGAAUUUUUAGUCCUUCCUCAAAUAUCAAGCUAUUUUCUGAUAUAGAUUUUAAUUCUAACAUUGAAUGUUUGACUUUGAAAACUCAAGUUUUGUUUUCUGUAGAUUUUUUCUUUUGCAUGAAGCAAUAUAUAUUUACAUGCGCAAUAAAAAUGAGAAGUACGUCA